Molecule: long non-coding RNA, 2275 nt
Organism: Thunnus maccoyii (southern bluefin tuna)
Lineage: Eukaryota; Metazoa; Chordata; Actinopteri; Scombriformes; Scombridae
Exons: 3
Source: RefSeq, a predicted model, not a curated record
CUGUGACGUAUUUCCUAACGUUCCUAGCAUCUCUGCAAAUAAAGGAUGAUUAUUACAAGUUAGCUGCUAAUUGAGACGAAUUCUGAAUGUGCUGAACCCAAAAGCUGUUCAACAUCCACUCCCUUGAUGGAGCACGGACUCAAAAGUGGGAUCCUGAGGUAUGGUGAAGCUGCUCUCAUCAUCUGUUGCCAUGGCAUGCUACACUCCUGGGAAGCUGCGGCCUUCACUAAAAGCCAAUGUCAAGAUGUUAAGCUUUUUACAGACUGACGCAAGAUCCCUCUCUCUGUCUGCUUUGCAGGGUUGCUCCCCUCUUCAGAUGGCUGUGGACGCAAUAAUGACCCAACAGAUGGGUUUAUUAGAGAGCGGUUAAGGCAGCCAGCGGGUGGUUCGUUCAGGGGGGAACCAGGAGCUGAAGCGCCAGGAGCUCUGGGUGAAAAGGAGACUGACAGGAAGCAAGUGACUCAGCCUCUCUCUUCAGUUGUUGAUCCAAUAGGCAGAGUCUCUUCCUCAUAAUGAUCUCAGUCGCCAGGACUGGUGUGUAGUUGCCUGCCUGCGUGCCUGUGCUUUUGUGUCCCAUCCACAUAUGUGCAGUCUUGCUUAUGUAAUUCAUCCACGCUUUGCAUUUGUACAUUUCAGUACAUAUGCCUCCCCCCUGAAGCAUGUGAAUGCCUUUUGACAUGUAAAUGAGAUCGAGCUGGCUUUGUUAGCUACCUGCGUGUUAAUGCUUGUUUAAGAUGUCAUCUGUCUCUUUUUGCCUCUCCAUUCAGCGGGGCGGGUGGCAUGCUUUGUGUCUCCAGCCCCAGGUGUCGAAGGAGGUUCUUCAAACCCUCGUUAGUGUCCUAGAGUGUGUGUGUGUGUGUGUGUGUGUGUGUGUGUCUGUGUGUGUGUGCAUUUGUGUGUGCUCUGCUGGAGCACGCCACUCUAGAUCACAAGACAAUAUGGGCCAAAUCAGAUCAUACAGAGACCUCAUUAUUCUCUUUGCACUUCUAGGUCUCUCCAACACUUGUUAGCUUUCACUGGUCAAUAGGGCUCAAUAGAGUUGAUUUAACAAAUAAAGGAAAAAAGUGGGACAUUAACUCAGGCAUAUGGAUGGGAUUCAGGCAUCAAUGGGAAGGAAAUUAGUAAAUUAGCCUCUAAUUACCAAAUUAUAAGAAGAUCAGACAUUUUCUGUCCAUGAGAUUGUAGCUAAUUAUUAGUGGUAGAAUGUCAAAAGUUAUAUUUUUUAAAUUCAAGAUUCAAAGACUGUCAACAAAAUGAUUUGCUGUUCUUCUGUGCUGUCCAUUCUUAAAAACAUAUUUUUAAGUUAGAAAAGGAGAAUACAAACAGAAAUAAGAGGAGGAAUUAGAAAGAAUAAGGAAGUAAUUAGUAAAAAAAAGUAUAAUAUUAAAUAAGUAUUAAGAAGUGUUACAAUAUACCACAAGAGUCAGAUGAGCACCAGUAAUGCGAAUUCAAAUUAAAGUGUGACAGUGGUGCAAAUCUCUGCAACGUUGUGCAACAGUUGUAUGAAUUUGUGUUGUACAGCACAUUUAGAUACUUCAUUGUCAAUUUUUAACAUUUGUGGAACAUUUCACAUUAUAUAUCUGAAUUGGCCUUCCUGGAAUAUGACAACCACUUUUUUUUACAUUUAGGAGUUAUCUUUGACUUUCACCUUACUUUUGAUUAUCAUUAUUUUAAAAAAAAUGUGCAAUUCUGUUUUCAACCUCAUGUUUCACAAAUUUGAUUUUUAUUAUUUCCUGACUUCUUUCACUUUUUUUCAUAAUGGACAGUUGUAACUUUCUAUUUGACUAUUCUGAGUCUCUGUUUGACAGAAAUUGAUUCUCUGUUUGACAAAACUGGCAGUUCUGACUCUCUCUGACGUGAGUGGGCAAAGCCCACCCAUGUUUUUUUGCAACCAUAGUCUUAACAAGGACAAAUAAGAGACUCCACAUAACCCCAUUUUAGCAUAUUUGCAUUGGCUUCCAAUUGAUUUUAGAAUUGAUUUUAAGAUUUUACUCAUUAUUUUUUAAUGCAUUCUGUGGUCUGGGUCUGGCACACUGUACAUUUGUGAUGUGGUGCCCAUAUGUAUCUGCUUUCAGAACCAGCAACAAAACUCUGCUGGUAAUUCCCUUAAAGCCAAAGAAGAUUGUUCUGCUGUCUACUGUUACCCUACAUCUCUACUAAGAACUCUUUUUUUAUUAUUUAUAAAUUUGUAUUUCUACAUUAAGUGGUCUUCUCAUUCUCUGUCACUUUAACUACUAGCUAUCAACUAAUUUCUGUUAUUUUAAUAUUUUUUUUC